Molecule: small nucleolar RNA, 135 nt
Organism: Crocodylus porosus (Australian saltwater crocodile)
Lineage: Eukaryota; Metazoa; Chordata; Crocodylia; Crocodylidae
Source: Ensembl
CUUCCCAUUUGACUGCCACUUCUUCGAUUUACAGAUUAAGUGGCUAUGCUUAUGGGAUACAGAAAAAAGUGCUAGAGUCUGAAGGAAAAGAUUGUUAAUAUCUCUUUUCUAUAUGAGAUGGCAGAACAUUAUACA